GACGAACGCUGGCGGCGUGCUUAACACAUGCAAGUCGAACGGUAAGGCCUUUCGGGGUACACGAGUGGCGAACGGGUGAGUAACACGUGGGUGAUCUGCCCUGCACUUCGGGAUAAGCCCGGGAAACUGGGUCUAAUACCGGAUAGGACUGCGCGGUGCAUGCCGUGUGGUGGAAAGAUUUAUCGGUGCGGGAUGGGCCCGCGGCCUAUCAGCUUGUUGGUGGGGUAAUGGCCUACCAAGGCGACGACGGGUAGCCGGCCUGAGAGGGGGAACGGCCACAAUGGGACUGAGAAAGGGCCCAGACUCCAACGGGAGGCAGCAGUGGGGAAUAUUGCACAAUGGGCGCAAGCCUGAUGCAGCGACGCCGCGUGAGGGAUGACGGCCUUCGGGUUGUAAACCUCUUUCAGCAGGGACGAAGCGUGAGUGACGGUACCUGCAGAAGAAGCACCGGCCAACUACGUG
This 462-nucleotide ribosomal RNA is filed under the name uncultured bacterium. Its description in RNAcentral is "partial 16S ribosomal RNA". It matches the Rfam family "Bacterial small subunit ribosomal RNA", at positions 28 to 507 of the family's 1533-position model. The record is from RNAcentral.